GGGUACCAAUAUACAAUGAAGCCAAAUUGGCGUUGUUUAUAUAUCUCUGGUCUUCUAAGGAGAAAGGCACGGCCUAUCUUUAUAAUCGCUUCUUCCGAGACUUUGUGGCACAACAUGAGGCAGAAAUUGAUAGUAAGAUAUUGGAAUUCAGAGUUAAGACUAGGGAUUUUGCAAACCUAUCUUGUCAAAAGGCUCUAAAUUAUGGCCAAAAAGGUGUUUAUGAGAUUUUGGAGUAUGUUUAUUCUCAUCAGUCGGCGCCACAGCCUCAUUCUGAUCAGAAGCAAGAGAAGGGCACUGGAAAAGUAAUUGCUGCUGGUCAGUCUGAAGCUGUGGCAAGGGACCAAAGAACAACAAGCGACUUUGAAGAGAAACCAACUGAAUCAGUACCAUUGUCUGAAAAUGGAACCCCAAUUCUUCCCAGCAGAAACCACUGGUUAAAGAAGCUCAUCAGAUGAUGCGUCGCAUACUGCACCAAAUUAUAUUAAUGUGAUUUACCAAUUUUCAGCCUUUACAAAAUACAAUUUUAUGUCUUGUUAGUCUUAAUUACUUCCUA
Molecule: non-coding RNA, 553 nt
Organism: Prunus avium (sweet cherry)
Lineage: Eukaryota; Viridiplantae; Streptophyta; Magnoliopsida; Rosales; Rosaceae
Source: RefSeq, a predicted model, not a curated record